GCACAGUAAGAUCCUGGUCUGAAUCCUGGUCCUGGGUGACAAGUUUGCAUAAAUAAGGCACUCCUGAGAACUAGCAGAGACUGCUGCCUUCUCCUGUGUUGGGCUAGAUGCCCUAAUACAAUCCAGCUUGAUAUGACUGCCCGAAGUGUGUUGAUGAGAGGGAAAAAUGACACAGAGCUUAAAGUAGCUCUACUGAAGCUAUUGAUGUUCUCUCCGCUGACUUCAAAAUGUUGGUCCAACUAAUGAUAAAUAAGGCCUUGAGGGGAGUCCCUCCCCCCCUGCCCUGGACCUAGCUGGGAUUUUACUGGGAGCAUGGGGUCAUUGCUGACUUCUUUCUGUUCCUCUAACAGCUGCUGAAAGGAGGAAAGAAGCAUCCUUAGGCUAAAUUGCAUAACCUUCUUCAAUAUAGCUAUCAGCUGAGGAAAAGGAUACCCCUUUCUCAAACUCUUUCCUAAUUUCAAACAUGUACCAGGAAUGUUCUUACUCUUUUUAAUGAACAGGAGUUCAGUGCUCUGUGCUACUAUUACAGUUCCUCCUUCACACAAAAGAUCUUCAGUCAACUAUGCCCAGCACCUGCUGGGGCCCUGUGUGUACAAGUGCCAUGGCCUGCCUUCACGAGGUUUGGAGCAAGGCUGCUAUUUGCUUGAAUGGAAGAAUGAAAGGAAUGGAAGGGAAGUACAGAUGUUUUUAGAAAUUGCUAGAAUUAUUAAUUCCAGGGCUCUGACAUAAGAGACCUGAGCUAUUGGUUCCCUAUAUGCUGUGGAGGUUUGGAGGUGGGAGACAGUACAACGGGGCUGAAAAGUGCAGACCUGCAUGUCCCUUGCGCUUGUUGGCAUGAACAGCAAACACAUCUAGUUGAAAGCAAAGCCUGUUGCUUUGCCUCUACUUGUCACUGUUAUGUUCUUUUUUCUGUUUUUGGAAGAGGCUCUAGACUUACAGUAAUUAAACUAAAAGCUCUAUAAAAAAAAUCCUGUUCUUUGUCCAAAGCAGAAUUUUUGUUGUGAUUUGUCUUGCUACUUACCUUUACUUUUUUUUUCCUCUCCAACUGAGGGUCCCUAAAUGCAAAAGCAGUGAAUUCCAAUUUGUAACCUACAAGAUGAAUCUUGGUAUCAGUCAGUUAGGAAACCUGAACAAAAAUUAACUGCCCAUCCUCUACUGGUGGUGCUGGUAGAGGACAGGGAGGAAGAUGGGUCUUGGACCACUUCAUUCCAUGGCUCAGGAUCUCUCUUAAGAUGCUCCAGGAACUUGUCUUGGGAGACAGUUCUACAGCUUAAAGAAAUGCUGCCAGCUCAUUCUAUGUCUGUCAAUAUAUUUACUGUUUCAGAAGCUUUACAAUAACAAACUUUCUUCUUGAACAGCAGACAGGCCUUUGCAAAGUUUCUUUUAUUAGUUCUUCAUUGGGAAAAUACUUUAAAACAUAAUGAGUUUUUUUUUAAAAAAAAAAAAAAAGCUUAAAGUCAACACUUGCUGAUUUGAAACAGAAUUCCAAAAGUUAUGCUUGCUUAUCUGAUGCAAAAUGACUGAAUGGUUACUGGAAUCAGUAUUAAAGCUAAAGCAAGUACAAUGUUGCACUGUGAACUAUGGCAACUUUAAAAUUGAUUCUCUUCUGUUUGGUGACUGUACACCUUACUUUGCCUUUGGCUUUGAGUAAGAACCAGAUUUGUAUUGCCAGAACUGGGUGGUAAUGUGUUAUAUGGAGUCUUUUGUUCAAAUGCCCUUCUUGCCUCUCUCCAGGAACUUCUGUAUUUUUCUCAACAUCCAUAUAACAAGAUUACUGAUAUUUUAGUUUUCUGAAUUAAGCAUUCAUCCAUUUUGUGUUGGCUGCACAAAUUGCACCAAUAAUCCUUUCCACUCUAAAGCAAUACUCAUUGUUUGCAUUGUAGAGAUCUUCAUCAUACAACAUUUACAGAUGCUGAAUUAAGCUGUCAUUGGGAUUAAUAAAUAUAGUCAUAUUACUCA
Apteryx rowi (Okarito brown kiwi) is the source of this 1959-nucleotide long non-coding RNA. Lineage: Eukaryota; Metazoa; Chordata; Aves; Apterygiformes; Apterygidae. The record is from Ensembl.